Molecule: ribosomal RNA, 102 nt
Filed under: Photobacterium sp. GB-210
Lineage: Bacteria; Pseudomonadati; Pseudomonadota; Gammaproteobacteria; Vibrionales; Vibrionaceae
Source: RNAcentral
CGUUAUGGACCCACCUGAUCCCAUGCCGAACUCAGUAGUGAAACGUAAUAGCGCCGAUGGUAGUGUGGGGUCUCCCCAUGUGAGAGUAGGACAUCGCCAGGC